Prunus avium (sweet cherry) is the source of this 1272-nucleotide non-coding RNA. NCBI's taxonomy places the organism in Eukaryota, Viridiplantae, Streptophyta, Magnoliopsida, Rosales, Rosaceae. The record is from RefSeq and is a predicted model, not a curated record.
AGAAAAGAAGGAAAAGAACACACCGGGCAAUUGCUGAGGGACCACUAAAAUUGAACAGCAAGAGCAUCCGCUUGCCAUUACCCCACUUGGAUGAAAUUGGCACCUCAUUUUAAUGACAAUAGAGAGAAAGGGUGUGAAUGAGUUGGUCCAUGUCAGUGGAUGAAUAAAAAAAAUGAAAUAAGAAUCAAAUAGACUCUUGACUAGAGCCCAGAGCCAACGGCUCUCGUUGUCCCUUUGCUCAUCAGAACCCAGACUCCAUUCAAUUUUUCUUAGAAUCCACGCCGUCACCUAUCUCAAAACCCAAAAGUCUCUCUCGUCGUCAUUCAUCGCUCAACUUCCCCUUUGCAGAGAAAUAAAAAAUAAAUAAAAAAAUCGAAGUCUCUCUCUUGUGUGUUUCUCAAAACGCAAACCCUUCCCUUUCUCUGUUAGCCCAGUCACCUGCGCAGAUAUUCCUUUUCGCAAAUAUUUCUUCUGUGCACCAAUAGCGCUUCUUUAUCUUGCGCACACUCAAACCUGCUCUCAUAGGCAUUUCUCUCAUAAACCCACACUCCGCUCUCGUUCGCAGCUGUUUCAAAACUCAAACUUGGAGUUUUCUGUGCUGGAUUUGCUCGAAAUGGUAUUUGGAGUAACCAAGGAGCCGCUCCGUCCUUAACGAUGCACUUCAAACAUCAGAUCUGAGAGGCCAAAGAUUUACACCACACAUUGGUCUCUGCAAAAAUCUGAGGUCAGUCAUCCUAUAGAGGUAUAAACACGAUCCCCUGUAGAAUUUCUGACUUUCACCCUAUUGUGUGUUGUAAAUGAGUCAUAACUGAUGAAAAUUAUGUUUCUGAGCUUGGGUAAUGGUAAGCCUCGCGGUUUGCUUGUAAUCCAUCACUGUCAACUUCGUUUGAUGGAAGUAACAAUUUUGGCUUCAGUUCAGUUAGAACUGAAGAACCUCUUUGCCUUGUCUUGAGUGACUCAUCCACAUCUGUUUUCAUCUGCAUCAAUUUUAGAUUUGCAUCAACUUGGAAAUAAGACGUGGAGACUGCCGGAUGUCAGCGAGCAAGUCAAUCUUCAAGUUGCGAGCAGGUCCUCAGAAUAUAAAGACUGCAGAAAAGUCCCUUGCAAUGAAGGAACCCACAGUAAAUUUUGCUCCCUGCGUCUCCUCCUUAAAGAUUGCUCAGGUUCUGGAUCAAACGGAACCAACUGCUUAACUGCUGAACGCGUGCUGACCAUGCACAGAUUGUAAUCUGCACUGCCCUGCUGUGAUCUGUAAAAAUAAAAUAAAAACGG